GCCUCCCCUUUGGCCCCAGGGCGCGGGGCACCACGCGGAAAGCCCCACCCGCUCCGGAGGACGUCCAAUGGGCGCGGAGCGCGGGAAGCUGGGGGCGGAGCCGGAGCGGCCAGGCGGCCCUGCGACGCAGCGGGCUCAGAGGUCCUCGCCCACAGUGGAGAGCUGUACGGGUUUAAGAGUCCCCUGCCUUGGAAACGUGUGUGUCAGACUUCGUCUGCUGUUUGCAGAACACUAGCCACACUGUUUGGGGAAGCGCGGAAUGAGUAACAGCCUCUGCUUUCAAGGAUAUCCCAAUCAGUCAGGCGGAGGAGCAGAUGGGUAAACAGAAACUGAAGAAGAGGCUGAAUAUGAGGCAGUUGGAAUAGUGAAAAGACAGCAGCCAUUGAUACAUGGACUCACGGCCAGAGAAGACAAGAAAAUGAGCCCCUCAGAAAUUAUCGACUAAAACAGAAUGAAUGGAUCCUGGCUAAGCCCCUGCCAUGGCAAAAUCCAGUGGAAUUGAUGUUCAGCUUAUGUGCUUAAAUGGAGCAACCUGCCAUGUUAGAGAGUCCCACGUGGCAAAGAACUGAGAGAGGCCUCCAGCCAACAGCCAGAGAAGAACUGAAUCCUGCCAGCAAGCAGGUAAGUCAGCCUGGAAUCAAAUCCUUUCCCAGUAGAGACUGGCGAUGACCACAGUCCUAUCUGAUCCUUGACUGCAGCCUGUGUAGCAGCGGACCCGGCUAAGCCAGCCUGGACUCCUGACCUUACAGAAACUAAGAGAUAAUAAGUAUUGUUGAAAAACACUAAAUUUGGGGACUAAUUUGUCACAUAGCAACUGAUAACUAGUACAAUGGGAUAACAAUUCCUUCCAGAAUUACAGUGAGAAUUAGAACAUAUAUGAGGAUUAGAAUAAUGACAGUAAUGGUAAUGACAACGACAACAGGGGAUCCCAGCUAAGCUUAAAUUAAGAUUCAGAACCUGGCAGAAAUGCUACUAUUGUGAAGAAGUUAUAUUUAGUGCUUGAACCCCCUGAGGAGUACAAGAAAGAUGAAAGUACAAAAAACAAGGUAUCACAUUUCUCAAUCAGGCCCAGACUAUGUCUGACUCUGAUAGAAGGGGACUUGUUGAGCAAAGCUAAAGUAGCAGGUUUGUGAGAGUUAGUGAACAAGAAAAGGUGUGUGGGGGCCCAGGUGACAAAGUUUCACCAAGAACUGGGAAGAGGGUUACUCUCCCACUUCUGCUUAGAUUGGAGCAUGGCUACAACAAUAAAGUGAAGCCAAGAGACAGUGCAGUUGUUCAACUCAAGAGUUCCUGCCUUGGGAGUAUGGAGCGUAGGACCCUCGAUGGGGAGGAAGGGUUCUCAUGGGGGAUAUUGGCCACCAUGAAGGAGACAAGGCCCUCCUGCUUCUCCUGAGAUUGGCACAUAGCUAUUUCUAUGUUUGUGGUUGAUAAACAGUAAAAAAGACUAUGAGAAGGGAAGUUGAGUACCUAUGUCUCUGUAAGCCAGUACAGUUGGGGUAUAGGUGCCUUUAAGGACAUGCAGAGUUCUGACAGGCAAAGAAAGGAAAAUAGACAUUCUGAACUGAGGGAACAGCACAAGUAAAGAUUCAGAGCGGUGAACAUAAAUCAUUUCCUUAGGGAAAAGUAAGUUGUCCUGUGUGAUCAGAGAAAGGAGUAAAAACUAGUUAACAUCUCCUAUUCUGAUUCUUUUUUUAAAAAUUUAUUUAUUGUUUAAUUUACAUCCAAGUUAGUUAGCAUAUAGUGCGACGAUGAUUUCAAGGGUAGAUUCCUUAAUGCCCCUUACCCAUUUAGCCCACCGCCCCUCCCACAACCCUUCCAGUAACCCUCUGUUUGUUCUCUAUAUUUAAGAGUCUCUUAUGUUUUGUCCCCCUCCCUGUUCUUAUAUUAUUUUUGCUUCCCUUCCCUUAUGUUCAUAUGUUUAGUGUCUUAAGUUCCUCAUAUGAGUGAAGUCAUAUGAUAUUUGUCUUUCUCUGACUAAUUUCGCUUAGCAUAAUAUCCUCCGGUUCCAUGCACGUAGUUGCAAAUGGCAAGAUUUCAUUCCUUUUGAUUGCUGAGUAAUACUCCAUUGUAUGCAUAUACCACAUCUUUUUUAUCCAUUCAUCCAUCAAUGGAUAUUUGGGCUCUUUCCAUACUUUGGCUAUUGUUGAUAGCACCGCUAUAAACAUUGGGGUGCAUGUGCCCCUUCGAAACAGCAUACCUGUACCCCUUGGAUAAAUACCUAGUGGUGCAAUUUCUGGGUUGUAGGGUAGUUGCAUUUUUAAUUUUUUGAGGAACCUCCAUACUGUUUUCCAGAGUGGCUGCUCCAGUUUGCAUUCCCACCAACAGUGCAAAAGAGAUCCUCUUCCUCUGCAUCCUCGCCAACAUCUGUUGUUGCUUGAGUUGUUAAUGUUAGCCAUUCUGACAGGUGUGAGGUGGUAUCUCAUUGUGGUUUUGAUUUGUAUUUCCCUGAUGAUGAGUGAUGUUGAGCAUUUUUUCAUAGAUCUGUUCACCAUCUGGAUGUCUUCUUUGGAGAAGUGUGUAUUCAUGUCUUUUGCCCAUUUUUUCACUGGAUUAUUUGUUUUUUGGGUGUUGAGUUUGCUAAGUUCUUUAUAGAUUUUGGAUACUAACCCUUUAUCUGAUAUGUCGUUUGCAAAUGUCUUCGCCCAUUCUGUCAGUUGCCUUUUAGUUUUGCUGAUUGUUUCCUUCACUGUGCAGAAGCUUUUUAUUUUGAUGAGGUCCCAAUAGUUCAUUUUUGCUUUUGUUUCCCUUGCCUCCAGAGAUGUGUUGAGUAAGAACUUGCUGCAGCUGAGGCGAAAGAGGUUUUUGCCUGCUUUCUCCUCGAGGAUUUUGAAGGCUUCCUAUCUUGCAUUUAGGUCUUUCAUCCAUUUUGAGUUUAUUUUUGUGUAUGGUGUAAGAAAGUGGUCCAGGUUAAUUUUUCUGCACGUCGCUGUCCAGUUUUCCCAGUACCACUUGUUGAAGAGACUGUCUUUAUUCCAUGGUGUAUAUUCUUUCCUGCUUUGUUAAA
Molecule: long non-coding RNA, 3004 nt
Organism: Neofelis nebulosa (Clouded leopard)
Lineage: Eukaryota; Metazoa; Chordata; Mammalia; Carnivora; Felidae
Exons: 5
Source: RefSeq, a predicted model, not a curated record